RNAcentral lists this ribosomal RNA (429 nucleotides) under Triticum aestivum (bread wheat). RNAcentral describes it as "partial small subunit ribosomal RNA". Lineage: Eukaryota; Viridiplantae; Streptophyta; Magnoliopsida; Poales; Poaceae. The record is from RNAcentral.
UGGUAUUCAGAGCCUCCUUCUCUAGCACAUCACGCACCCAUGGCCUCCUCAAGCUCUGCCGUCGCCACACCAGCCCUCAUCCCGAUCGUCGAUCGUCUUCACCGCUCCAACUUCCUGGUGUGGCGCGCGCAGGCCAUGGCAGCUAUCCGGGGCGCGCAGCUCGUCUCCUACCUCGACCCUGAGAGGGAGCUGCCGGCCCGGAAGCUCACGGACAAGGAAGGCAAGCCCACCGAUGUGCCCAAUCCGGCGUACGACAUCGACAGGGCUCGCGACUCCCAGGUGCUGAGUUUCAUCUUUAAUUCAAUCUCCGCACCGGUGAUGAUCCAGGUUGCACACUGCAACACGGCGGCCGAAGCUUGGGCCGCCAUCACGGAGAUCUUUAUCUCCCAGACUCAGGCGCACAUCGUCAACACCAGAAUCGCCCUCUCC